This is a long non-coding RNA of Rhopalosiphum padi (bird cherry-oat aphid), 1424 nucleotides long. RefSeq lists it as uncharacterized. The record is from RefSeq and is a predicted model, not a curated record. NCBI's taxonomy places the organism in Eukaryota, Metazoa, Arthropoda, Insecta, Hemiptera, Aphididae. The transcript has 3 exons.
ACAGUGUGUUUAGUAUUGUCGUCUAAACUUAUAAACUCACGAGCACAAGCAUGUAUGUGUUUACAAAUAUUCGCUUUAAUAACAUUAUCAAUGCAAGUGCAAUGAAAGGUGUGAAUGCAAAUAUCACACUUUAUGCAUUUCAAACAUGAUGAAUAUGAACAUGUUUCAUCAGUUUUUAUAAUUUAGUGCUGCUGCGAGGGAUUGGAUAAGGAUUUGAUAAUAUAUACUUUUUUGUUUUCCACAAUUUGUAUUUGUUCCAGUUUAAUUAAUUUACUUGAAUUAUGACUUUGACGUACUCUUUGGACUUUUUCAGUAGGGACAUUUUUCGAUAACUUAAUCAAACGUUUGUAUAGGCUAUCUCUGGAAUAUUUCAUAAGAGCAUUAAUUGUUUUGUCCAAACGUUUUACUCUUUUUCCUUCCAAAUAUAUGUGUUUUAAUACUUUAUGAAACGAUUCCAAGUACAUGUUGGUAUUAAUUCCAAGUCUUAGUUGAUAGCAAUAUGCCCAACAUUCUGGGCGUUUUGAGUAAUAUUUUUCGAAAUAUGCCCCAAAUGUACUGGUGUCUUUGUCUUGUUUUAAAUCUCUUAUGACAAUUUGGAGAUCGUUUUUAAAUUCAUCAAUGGAUGUGGUUUGUAAUAAUAAUCUCAGCGUUUUAUAGACAAGUGAUUUUUUCUCUGAUCCACCACUAAUUUUAGAUAAAUUUUGUCUCCAGUUUUAUCGACGUGCCAAGUACACAGAAGUCUAUGUUCAACUGAUCCCAUUAUGGUAACCCAAGCAUUAUAAAAUGCAGGAGCAUCAUCUGUCAUAAAAACUUUACAGUCAAUAACUCCUACAUUGAAUUUGAUUUUUUCAAAAAAUAAUUGAAAAAUUAGCGCUCAUCGGAUCGAUUCGAUAAACAAAAUGCAACUGGGCAACCAGAUCCAAAUUCAUCUACAGUGACAACAGUAUACAAUUGAAUGUCAUAUGCAUUAGUUCCUAGCAUAGUCAAUGUUAAAAUUACGUGAAAUAUUGUGUAGAUCUUUCCGUUCCAAAAGAAGAGAUCUUUGAUGUGUAUCAUCAGUUACUUCAGCAUCACGAAUCGAAUCUAUGAUGUGUUCAAAGAUGCACUAGAUGACAUGAUGCUCAGCUGUUAAGAUACAAACAAAAAUAAAAUACUAGCUAAAUGAAAAUCACAAUAAGUAUAAACACCUAUGUCAGCCUGAGAUUAAUAACUUAUUUUUAGAAGAUUUAUGACUUGGAAAUUUCUUGUUAUUAUGUAUAUUUUAAAUGUUCAAAUAUUUUAUAUAGCAAUCAAUGAUAUUGUAUUUGGAGUUGAAUAAAAUAAAUGUCAUAUAUCUAAAUAUGUAUACACAAGUAACUAGGAACAUUUCCUAUUUCUAAUAUUUAUAAAAAUGAAAAUAAUAAAAUACAUUGUAUUUAUUUAAA